AGUAGAGUCAGCUAACAAUAAGCUU
Molecule: transfer RNA, 25 nt
Filed under: Pristimantis cajamarcensis (Cajamarca robber frog)
Lineage: Eukaryota; Metazoa; Chordata; Amphibia; Anura; Strabomantidae
Description: partial tRNA-Met
Source: RNAcentral